GAUUAUAUAGCGCAAUGGUAGCGCAUUUGCUUUUAUAACGGGAAAUCCUGGGUUUAACUCCCAAUGUAACCG
RNAcentral lists this transfer RNA (72 nucleotides) under Gaeumannomyces tritici R3-111a-1. RNAcentral's name for it is "Gaeumannomyces graminis var. tritici R3-111a-1 tRNA". It matches the Rfam family "tRNA". Rfam says of the family: Transfer RNA (tRNA) molecules are approximately 80 nucleotides in length. Their secondary structure includes four short double-helical elements and three loops (D, anti-codon, and T loops). Lineage: Eukaryota; Fungi; Ascomycota; Sordariomycetes; Magnaporthales; Magnaporthaceae. The record is from Rfam by way of RNAcentral.